AGCCCAGAGCCUGAAUCAGUGUGUGUGUUAGUGGAAGCGUCUGGAAAGGCGCGCGAUACAGGGUGACAGCCCCGUACACAAAAAUGCACAUACUGUGAGCUCGAUGAGUAGGGCGGGACACGUGGUAUCCUGUCUGAAUAUGGGGGGACCAUCCUCCAAGGCUAAAUACUCCUGACUGACCGAUAGUGAACCAGUACCGUGAGGGAAAGGCGAAAAGAACCCCGGCGAGGGGAGUGAAAAAGAACCUGAAACCGUGUACGUACAAGCAGUGGGAGCCUCUUAAUGGGGUGACUGCGUACCUUUUGUAUAAUGGGUCAGCGACUUAUAUUCUGUAGCAAGGUUAACCGAAUAGGGGAGCCGAAGGGAAACCGAGUCUUAACUGGGCGUUAAGUUGCAGGGUAUAGACCCGAAACCCGGUGAUCUAGCCAUGGGCAGGUUGAAGGUUGGGUAACACUAACUGGAGGACCGAACCGACUAAUGUUGAAAAAUUAGCGGAUGACUUGUGGCUGGGGGUGAAAGGCCAAUCAAACCGGGAGAUAGCUGGUUCUCCCCGAAAGCUAUUUAGGUAGCGCCUCGUGAAUUCAUCUCCGGGGGUAGAGCACUGUUUCGGCAAGGGGGUCAUCCCGACUUACCAACCCGAUGCAAACUGCGAAUACCGGAGAAUGUUAUCACGGGAGACACACGGCGGGUGCUAACGUCCGUCGUGAAGAGGGAAACAACCCAGACCGCCAGCUAAGGUCCCAAAGUCAUGGUUAAGUGGGAAACGAUGUGGGAAGGCCCAGACAGCCAGGAUGUUGGCUUAGAAGCAGCCAUCAUUUAAAGAAAGCGUAAUAGCUCACUGGUCGAGUCGGCCUGCGCGGAAGAUGUAACGGGGCUAAACCAUGCACCGAAGCUGCGGCAGCGACACUAUGUGUUGUUGGGUAGGGGAGCGUUCUGUAAGCCUGUGAAGGUGUACUGUGAGGUAUGCUGGAGGUAUCAGAAGUGCGA
This 987-nucleotide ribosomal RNA is filed under the name Escherichia coli. RNAcentral's name for it is "partial 23S ribosomal RNA". It matches the Rfam family "Bacterial large subunit ribosomal RNA", at positions 296 to 1293 of the family's 2925-position model. Lineage: Bacteria; Pseudomonadati; Pseudomonadota; Gammaproteobacteria; Enterobacterales; Enterobacteriaceae. The record is from RNAcentral.